CGUCGCCAUUGCCGGAGCACCUCGGCCUCGGCCCAGAGGCGAGUGUCGGUCGCUGUGUCGGAGACACCCGUCCCCGACACCAAGACAGCCAGCCCUCUCCCCUGCCCCGCGGCGGGAGAGCGUGUCCGGCCGGCCGGCGGGGCUCGCGCACCCUCCCUCGCCUCCCCUUCCCCCGCAGCCUCCGCCCCGCCAGGCCCGGCCCGGACCUCCGAGCCCCGGCCUCCUCCUCCUUCUCUGUCGCCACCACCGCCGCCGCCGCCGCCGGGCUCGACAGCCCCGCCCGCCGCUUCUCUUUCCAGUUUGAGAAGCCGAGGAAGGAAACAGGGAAAAAUGUCGCCAUGAAGGCCGAGAACCGCUGCCGCCGCCGACCCCCGCCGGCCCCGAACGCCAUGAGCCUGGGUCCCCGCCGCGCCCGCUCCGCUCCGACCGCCGCCGCCGCCGAGGCCCCCGUUGAUGCCGCAGAGCUCCCCCAGCGCCGCCGCCACCGCUUCCGACAUGGACAAGAACAGCGGCUCCAGCAGCUCCUCCGCCUCUUCGGGCAGCAGCAAAGGGCAACAGCCGCCCCGCUCCGCCUCGGCGGGGCCGGCCGGCGAGUCUAAACCCAAGAGCGAUGGAAAGAACUCAAAUGGAUCCAAGCGUUUUAAUCGCAAACGUGAACCUUCCUAUCCCAAAAAUGAAAAUUUUAGCAACCAGUCCCGUCGCUCCAAUUCACAGAAAAGCAAAACUUUUAACAAGAUGCCUCCACAGAGGGGCGGCGGCAGCAGCAAAGUCUUUAGCUCUUCUUUUAAUGGUGGAAGACGAGAUGAGGUAGCAGAGGCUCAACGGGCAGAGUUUAGCCCUGCCCAGUUCUCUGGUCCGAAGAAGAUCAAUCUGAACCACUUGUUGAAUUUCACUUUUGAACCGCGUGGCCAGGCGGGUCACUUUGAAGGCAGUGGACAUGGCAGCUGGGGAAAAAGGAACAAGUGGGGACAUAAGCCUUUUAACAAGGAACUCUUUUUACAGGCCAACUGCCAAUUUGUAGUGUCUGAAGACCAAGACUACACAGUUCAUUUUGCUGAUCCUGAUACUUUAGUCAAUUGGGACUUUGUGGAACAAGUGCGCAUUUGUAGCCAUGAAGUGCCAUCUUGCCCAAUAUGCCUAUAUCCACCUACUGCAGCCAAAAUAACCCGUUGUGGACACAUCUUCUGCUGGGCAUGCAUUCUGCACUACCUUUCACUGAGUGAGAAGACCUGGAGUAAAUGUCCCAUCUGUUAUAGUUCAGUACAUAAGAAGGAUCUCAAAAGUGUUGUUGCCACAGAGUCGCGUCAGUACGUUGUUGGCGAUACCAUUACGAUGCAGCUGAUGAAGAGGGAGAAAGGGGUAUUGUUGGCUUUGCCCAAAUCCAAAUGGAUGAAUGUAGACCAUCCUAUUCAUCUAGGAGAUGAACAGCACAGCCAGUACUCCAAGCUGUUGCUGGCCUCUAAGGAGCAGGUGCUGCACCGGGUGGUUCGGGAAGAGAGAGUAGCUCUAGAGCAGCAGCUGGCAGAGGAGAAGCACACUCCCGAGUCCUGCUUUAUUGAGGCAGCUAUCCAGGAGCUCAAGACUCGGGAAGAGGCUCUGUCAGGAUUGCCUGGAAGCAGAGGGGAGGCCGCUGGUGUUAUGCCUGCUCUGGAACAACUGGUGCUGAUGGCUCCCUUGGCCAAGGAGUCUGUGCUUCAACCCAGGAAGGGUGUGCUAGAGUAUCUGUCUGCUUUUGAUGAAGAGACCACCGAAGUUUGUUCUCUGGGAUCUCCUCGUCCUCUUGCUCUCCCUCUGGUAGAGGAAGAGGAAGCAGUGUCUGAACCAGAGCCUGAGGCCUGUGAUGACGCAGAGUUAGCAGAUGACAGUCUUGGAGAGGGGACCAUUUGUACUGAGUCCAGCCAGCAGGAACCCAUCAGCAAGCCAGGCUUCACACAUCUGAGCAGCUCUCCUUGUUACUACUUUUACCAAGCGGAGGACGGGCAGCACAUGUUCCUGCACCCUGUGAAUGUGCGCUGCCUUGUGAGGGAAUACGGCAGCCUGGAGCAGAGCCCGGAGAAGAUCUCGGCGGUAGUGGUGGAGAUCGCUGGCUACUCCAUGUCCGAGGACGUUCGACAGCGCCAUAGAUACCUCUCUCACCUGCCACUUACCUGUGAGUUCAGCAUCUGUGAACUAGCUCUGCAGCCUCCUGUGGUCUCUAAGGAAACCCUAGAGAUAUUCUCAGAUGACAUUGAAAAGAGGAAGCGUCAGCGCCAGAAGAAGGCUCGGGAGGAACGCCGCCGGGAACGCAGGAUUGAGAUGGAGGAGAACAAGAAACAGGGCAAGUACCCAGAAGUCCACAUUCCCCUAGAGAAUCUACAGCAGUUUCCUGCCUUCAAUUCCUAUACCUGCACCUCCAAUUCUGCUUUGGGUCCCACCAGCACCGAGGGCCAUGGUGCCCUCUCCCUGUCUCCUCUUAGCAGAAGUCCAGGUUCCCAAGCAGACUUUAUGCUGACCCCUCUGUCACCCACUGCCAGUCAGGGCAGUCCUUCAUUCUGCGUUGGGAGUCUGGAAGAAGACUCUCCCUUCCCUUCCUUUGCUCAGAGCGGGAAAACUUACCAGAAGGGAAUGACACAAAAUCAGGACUCCCAACUUGAGAGUCUGAAUGCUGAGGGUUGGAAAAGCAAAAGCAGAUGUGUGGCCCAAGACUACUUCAAAAAAAGAUGAAAACAGCUUAGUUCCUCCUGCUCCUGUGGACAGCGAUGGGGAGAGUGAUAACUCAGACCGUGUUCCUGUGCCCAGUUUCCAAAAUUCCUUCAGCCAAGCUAUUGAAGCAGCCUUCAUGAAACUGGACACACCAGCUACUUCAGAUCCCCUCUCUGAAGAGAAAGGAGGAAAGAAAAGGAAAAAACAGAAACAAAAGCUCCUGUUCAGCACUUCAGUCGUCCACACCAAGUGACACUACUGGCUACCUUCUCCAUCUGGUUUUCUUUUUUCUGUGCUUUUGUUUUGCUGCUGUAAUUUUUAAGUAUUUGAGUUUGAACAGAUUAGCUCUGGGGGGAGGGGGUUUCCACAGCGUGAGGGGGAACCAAAAUUUUAAAUACAGUGUAUUUUCCAGCUUCCCGUCUUUACACCAAAAUAAAGUAUUGACACAAGAGCUCUCUUCCUGCCAAGAGUUUUAGUUUGGUACCAGGGUUAGUCUUUUUGACCCAUGUAGAAUUAGUUUUUCUCAACUCGCGUAAGUUUGAGUCCCUUCAACAACCCUUGGAGCAGCCCAAACCCCAGAGUGUUCUAGUACUGCUCUACCGACAUGUCAAGGCAUCAUGGUUUCAACACACUGCUCAGCGUCUUUUAAAAAUAGUUGAGCCUUUCCUGUUUAGUUUUCCUCUUGUUAAAGAAACAGAGGAUGGGGAAUAAAAUGGAUUUAGGACACCCAGCCUGAAUUGCAGUUUUUCUUUGAAAAAUGGCCAGGCUGUGGUGCCAGACCUGGACUGCUUACAUACGUGCUCAAGGGUUUUACUUCUUGAGUGUGACUUGUUUGGCAAGGAAAGCUAUAAUCAUUAAAGAAGCCCUGAAACCUGCCCACUUUUAGGUGAAGCUUGUUUUAAGUGACAGUAGCCUGAGUUGUAGGAGCAGAGGAGUCUGACACACCUAGAGACAGCAGGGCAGGUUUGAAAGCAGUGGUAUUACCCACUGCCUCCUUGUUGUCUAGAGCAGUCUGUGCCUUGGUUUGAGCUGAAUUUGAGUGAUGUGAAUUAUCUUGCUGCUUUAAUAAAGUGACCUUCAGGUAUAAUAGAGUGUGAAGGCAAAUAGUUGCAAUAAAUCACCUGCACAAGCA
Canis lupus familiaris (dog) is the source of this 3814-nucleotide RNA transcript. It is a transcript of the gene named ring finger protein 10, with no coding region annotated. Lineage: Eukaryota; Metazoa; Chordata; Mammalia; Carnivora; Canidae. The record is from RefSeq and is a predicted model, not a curated record. The transcript is spliced from 18 exons.